GACGAACGCUGGCGGCGUGCUUAACACAUGCAAGUCGAACGGAAAGGCCCUGCUUUUGCGGGGUGCUCGAGUGGCGAACGGGUGAGUAACACGUGAGUAACCUGCCCUUGACUUUGGGAUAACUUCAGGAAACUGGUGCUAAUACCGGAUAGGAGCUCCUGCUGCAUGGUGGGGGUUGGAAAGUUUCGGCGGUUGGGGAUGGACUCGCGGCUUAUCAGCUUGUUGGUGGGGUAGUGGCUUACCAAGGCUUUGACGGGUAGCCGGCCUGAGAGGGUGACCGGCCACAUUGGGACUGAGAUACGGCCCAGACGCCUACGGGAGGCAGCAGUGGGGAAUAUUGCACAAUGGGCGGAAGCCUGAUGCAGCAGCGCCGCGUGCGGGAUGACGGCCUUCGGGUUGUAAACCGCUUUCGCCUGUGACGAAGCGUGAGUGACGGUAAUGGGUAAAGAAGCACCGGCUAACUACGUG
Molecule: ribosomal RNA, 468 nt
Filed under: uncultured bacterium
Lineage: Bacteria
Description: partial 16S ribosomal RNA
Rfam family: Bacterial small subunit ribosomal RNA
Source: RNAcentral